RNAcentral lists this long non-coding RNA (374 nucleotides) under Physcomitrium patens. Its description in RNAcentral is "long non-coding RNA (PPAT_LNC012982)". The record is from RNAcentral. Lineage: Eukaryota; Viridiplantae; Streptophyta; Bryopsida; Funariales; Funariaceae.
AAAUCCUAAUAAAAUCCUAAAUCCUAAAUCAAAUCCUAACUAAACCCUAAACUAAAUCUUAAAUCCUAAAUAAAAUCCUAACUAAAUUCUAAAUCCUAAACCAAAUCCUAACCAAAUCCUAAAUUGUGUUGUGAAUUUGAACUAAGAUCUAUACAAUAUAGAGCUAUGAUGAGUGUAUACAACUAUAACCAUUAACCUACAAAAUUUCACCUAUAGAUCUAUUACAAAACUCUUGAAAUCACCCAAAACGUAAACCCUAUUUUAUUUCACAAAACCCAAGUCAUCCAAAACAAACCUUGACUUUGUGAAGCUCUUACAAAGUCAAUACAGAUUUCAAUCAUCCAAAACCAAUGCUCAUAGAAACCUAAUCCAAU